RNAcentral lists this unclassified non-coding RNA (363 nucleotides) under uncultured bacterium. RNAcentral's name for it is "contains 16S-23S intergenic spacer region". The record is from RNAcentral.
UCCCCGUUGCCGAGGCAGUCUAGCUAGAAAAAUCCAACUAACUAUAAGGGUUGCGCUCGUUAAUGGACUUAACCAAACAUCUCACGACACGAGCUGACGACGGCCAUGCAACACCUGUCACUGCGUUCCAAAAGGCACAGUCUUCUUUCAAAGACCUUCGCAGGAUGUCAAGCCCUGGUAAGGUUCUUCGCUUAUCAUCGAAUUAAACAACACGCUCCACCGCUUGUGCGGGUCCCCGUCAAUUCCUUUAUGUUUUAAGCUUGCGCUCGUACUCCACAGGCGGGAUGCUUAACGCGUUAGCUUCGCUACUACGAGAGUCGAUACUCAUAACAGCUAGCAUCCAUCGUUUACGGCGUGGACUAA